Molecule: ribosomal RNA, 446 nt
Filed under: uncultured bacterium
Lineage: Bacteria
Description: bacterial SSU rRNA
Rfam family: Bacterial small subunit ribosomal RNA
Source: RNAcentral
CCUGGCUCAGAUUGAACGCUGGCGGCAGUGCUUAACACAUGCAAGUCGAACGAGGGUAGCGAUACCCGAGUGGCGGACGGGGUGAGUAACGCGUAGGAAUCUGCCCUGCUAGAGGGGGACAACCUGGGGAAACUCAGGCUAAUACCGCAUGCGCUCGAGAGAGGAAAAGCGGGGGACCUUCGGGCCUCGCGCUGUGGGAGGAGCCUACGUCCGAUUAGCUAGUUGGUGGGGUAAUAGCCUACCAAGGCGACGAUCGGUAGCUGGUCUGAGAGGAUGAUCAGCCACACUGGGACUGAGACACGGCCCAGACUCCUACGGGAGGCAGCAGUGGGGAAUAUUGGACAAUGGGCGAAAGCCUGAUCCAGCAAUGCCGCGUGGGUGAAGACGGCCUGCGGGUUGUAAAGCCCUUUAGGCGGGGAGGAACGACGGGGCGUGAAUAACGUUUC